AGAAUCAACGCUGGCGGCGUGCCUAACACAUGCAAGUCGAACGAGAAAGUGGAGCAAUCCAUGAGUAAAGUGGCGACCGGGUGAGUAACACGUGACUAACCUACCUUCGAGUGGGGAAUAACCUCGGGAAACCGGGGCUAAUACCGCAUAAUGUCUUCGGACCAAAGGAGCAAUUCGCUUGAAGAGGGGGUCGCGGCCGAUUAGCUAGUUGGUGAGGUAAUGGCCCACCAAGGCAAUGAUCGGUAGCCGGCCUGAGAGGGCGCACGGCCACACUGGAACUGAAACACGGUCCAGACUCCUACGGGAGGCAGCAGUGGGGAAUUUUGCGCAAUGGGGGAAACCCUGACGCAGCAACGCCGCGUGGAGGAUGAAGCCCCUUGGGGUGUAAACUCCUUUCGAUCGGGACGAUGAUGACGGUACCGGAAGAAGAAGCACCGGCUAACUCUGCGCCAGCAGCCGC
This 460-nucleotide ribosomal RNA is filed under the name uncultured bacterium. RNAcentral's name for it is "SSU rRNA". It matches the Rfam family "Bacterial small subunit ribosomal RNA", at positions 26 to 518 of the family's 1533-position model. The record is from RNAcentral.